This 468-nucleotide ribosomal RNA is filed under the name uncultured bacterium. RNAcentral describes it as "partial 16S ribosomal RNA". It matches the Rfam family "Bacterial small subunit ribosomal RNA", at positions 28 to 507 of the family's 1533-position model. The record is from RNAcentral.
GACGAACGCUGGCGGCGUGCUUAACACAUGCAAGUCGAACGGAAAGGCCCUGCUCUUGUGGGGUGCUCGAGUGGCGAACGGGUGAGUAACACGCGUGUAACCUGUCCUUGACUGUGGGAUAACAUCAGGAAACAGGGGAUAAUACCGGGGAGGAGAUCCUGCUGCAUGGGGGGGGAUGGAAAGAUUCGGCUGUUGGGGAUGGUCUCGCGGCUUAUCAGCUGGUUGGUGGGGUAGUGACUUACCAAGGUUGUGACGGAUAGCCCGCCUUGGAGCGUGGCCGGCCACAUUAGGCCUGCGGGACGCCGCAGUCUCCAACGGGAGGCAACGGUCGGGAGUCUUACGCAGUAGGGCGGAGCGAGUGGCGACAGCGCCGCGUGCGUGAUGACGUCCUUCGGGUGAUGAACCGCUUUCUCAUGUAACGAGGCCUGAGUGACGGUAAUGGGUAAGGAAGCACCGGCUAACUACGUA